AUGCAUUGGACAAUUCUGCAAUAAUUCCAUGAAUCGCUCCCAAGCUUUAUAUAACAUCUCAUCCUCUAAUUAACAAAAAGAUGUAAUAUCAUUUCAUAACUU
This 102-nucleotide small nucleolar RNA is filed under the name Gossypium barbadense (sea-island cotton). Its description in RNAcentral is "Plant small nucleolar RNA R71". It matches the Rfam family "Plant small nucleolar RNA R71". From Rfam's summary of the family: R71 is a member of the C/D box family of snoRNAs containing the C (UGAUGA) and D (CUGA) box motifs. RNAcentral also lists the same sequence under 2 other names. Lineage: Eukaryota; Viridiplantae; Streptophyta; Magnoliopsida; Malvales; Malvaceae. The record is from Rfam by way of RNAcentral.